AUUGAACGCUGGCGGCAUGCCUUACACAUGCAAGUCGAACGGCAGCACGGGAGCAAUCCUGGUGGCGAGUGGCGAACGGGUGAGUAAUAUAUCGGAACGUGCCCAGUCGUGGGGAUAACGUAGCGAAAGCUACGCUAAUACCGCAUACGAUCUAUGGAUGAAAGCGGGGGAUCGCAAGACCUCGCGCGAUUGGAGCGGCCGAUAUCAGAUUAGGUAGUUGGUGAGGUAAAGGCUCACCAAGCCGACGAUCUGUAGCUGGUCUGAGAGGACGACCAGCCACACUGGGACUGAGACACGGCCCAGACUCCUACGGGA
RNAcentral lists this ribosomal RNA (315 nucleotides) under uncultured bacterium. RNAcentral's name for it is "bacterial SSU rRNA". It matches the Rfam family "Bacterial small subunit ribosomal RNA", at positions 30 to 346 of the family's 1533-position model. The record is from RNAcentral.